RNAcentral lists this ribosomal RNA (518 nucleotides) under uncultured Glomeraceae. RNAcentral's name for it is "SSU rRNA". It matches the Rfam family "Eukaryotic small subunit ribosomal RNA", at positions 569 to 1092 of the family's 1831-position model. The record is from RNAcentral. Lineage: Eukaryota; Fungi; Glomeromycota; Glomeromycetes; Glomerales; Glomeraceae.
AGCAGCCGCGGUAAUUCCAGCUCCAAUAGCGUAUAUUAAAGUUGUUGCAGUUAAAAAGCUCGUAGUUGAAUUUCGGGAUCAAUACGUCGGUCGUGCCUCGGUACGUACUAACGUUAUUGGUUUCUCCCUUCUAACAAAUCGUGAUGUCAUUAAUUUGGUGUUACGGGGAGUUAGGACUGUUACUUUGAAAAAAUUAGAGUGUUUAAAGCAAGCAAUCGCUCGAAUACAUUAGCAUGGAAUAAUGAAAUAGGACGUUCGACCCUAUUUUGUUGGUUUCUAGGAUCGACGUAAUGAUUAAUAGGGAUAGUUGGGGGCAUUAGUAUUCAAUUGUCAGAGGUGAAAUUCUUGGAUUUAUUGAAGACUAACUACUGCGAAAGCAUUUGCCAAGGAUGUUUUCAUUAAUCAAGAACGAAAGUUAGGGGAUCGAAGACGAUCAGAUACCGUCGUAGUCUUAACCAUAAACUAUGCCGACUAGGGAUCGGAUGAUGUUAACUUAAUGACUCAUUCGGCGCCUUACG